GUGGAUUAGAUACCCUGGUAGUCCUGGCCGUAAACGAUGGGUACUAGGUGUAGGGGGUAUCGACCCCCCCUGUGCCGGAGUUAACGCAAUAAGUACCCCGCCUGGGGAGUACGGCCGCAAGGUUGAAACUCAAAGGAAUUGACGGGGGCCCGCACAAGCGGUGGAGUAUGUGGUUUAAUUCGACGCAACGCGAAGAACCUUCCCAGGGUUUGACAUUGAGUGAAAAGCUAAGAGAUUAGCUCCUCUCCUUCGGGAGACACGAAAACAGGUGGUGCACGGCCGUCGUCAACU
This 291-nucleotide ribosomal RNA is filed under the name uncultured bacterium. Its description in RNAcentral is "partial 16S ribosomal RNA". It matches the Rfam family "Bacterial small subunit ribosomal RNA", at positions 773 to 1060 of the family's 1533-position model. The record is from RNAcentral.